Molecule: long non-coding RNA, 359 nt
Filed under: Elaeis guineensis (African oil palm)
Lineage: Eukaryota; Viridiplantae; Streptophyta; Magnoliopsida; Arecales; Arecaceae
Description: long non-coding RNA (EGUI_LNC058233)
Source: RNAcentral
AAAACUAUAAUGCUUAUAAAUUAGCAGUUUUUAAAAUUCAAACUAUCAAUCUGAUUGAUAAUUUGAAUAUGAUCCAAGCCAUUGAUAAGAUCAUGCUUCUUUUGUGUAUGACCUCUCAGUUUCUAUUCUAUCCGGUAGUAAGACAUACCGUGAUCUCUAUCACAGUAUCAUCGAAAUUUUUUUGAUGGGCUAAAAUGAUUCCAACUUACCUCAACAAAGAUCGUUAUAAAGAUUGGUUAUAAAGAUUGCCCAUCAAGUAAAAAUUCUUUUCGAUGGGCUAAAAUGAUUCCAACAUGAUUGGUUAUAAAGAUUGCCCAUCAAGUAAAAAAUAUGCUCUAGAGAAAAAUAUGUGUCAGUCA